AUUGAACGCUGGCGGCAGGCCUAACACAUGCAAGUCGAGCGAGUGGCGGACGGGUGAGUAAUGUAUGGGGAUCUGCCCGAUAGUGGGGGAUAACUGCUGGAAACGGUGGCUAAUACCGCAUACUAUUGGAUGGACCCAUGUGGGAUUAGCUAGUAGGUGGGGUAAAGGCUCACCUAGGCGACGAUCACUAGCUGGUCUGAGAGGAUGAUCCGCCACACUGGGACUGAGACACGGCCCAGACUCCUACGGGAGGCAGCAGUGGGGAAUAUUGGACAAUGGGCGCAAGCCUGAUGCAGCCAUGCCGCGUGUCUGAAGAAGGCCUUAGGGUUGUAAAGGACUUUCAGCGGGGAAGCGUUACCCGCAGAAUAAGCACCGGCUAACUCCGUGCCAGCAGCCGCGGUAAUAC
This 406-nucleotide ribosomal RNA is filed under the name uncultured bacterium. RNAcentral describes it as "partial 16S ribosomal RNA". It matches the Rfam family "Bacterial small subunit ribosomal RNA", at positions 30 to 526 of the family's 1533-position model. The record is from RNAcentral.